This 1180-nucleotide unclassified non-coding RNA is filed under the name Bactrocera tryoni. RNAcentral's name for it is "uncharacterized LOC120780622, transcript variant X1". Lineage: Eukaryota; Metazoa; Arthropoda; Insecta; Diptera; Tephritidae. The record is from RNAcentral.
UAGCAGCGACAAUUUUUUGGUGUACAAAAUAAUAAACAAGAUUCCGUUUGUAAAAUUUUCCCUUCAACGCAAAAUCAUAAUGGAAGAUAUCAAGCAGUUAUUGCAACAGAAUGUCUACCGAUAUGAAUCAACGGACUCUAAUUCAGCCACCGAUAGCGAAGAGAGUACAAUUUCAGGUGUGAAAAACUGUGUAAAGGCAGUUUGUCAAGGUCGAAUGCCAACUAGGCGGCCCAAUCCAAAUGUUCAAAAUAGAAAUGCUUUGUUGGCACGGGAAAAUCGUCGAAAGAAGAAAGCGCAUUUAGAGGCAAUGGAGAAGGAGUUGGAAGAAGUGCGAUCGGCUAAUAAGCAACUUAAGAAGGCGUUGAAACAGCAAAUGAAAGCAGUAGGCCAACUUCAACGAGAAAAAAGGUAUUUUCAGAGCGUUAUUGCAAAUCACAAAGAAAUAGAGAAUCUUAUUAAAGCUCUGAAUGUUCGAAUGCAUGUUCAGCAGUCUCCGGCCGUAAGUUCGCCGAUGCUGAGUUCUCCAGUUCAUUCGUAUACCAGUCAGCAAUUAUGCCAGUCGUCAAGGAUUGUACAUCAAACAAACGGUUUGGACAAUGUUGAAUGGAAUGUCGCAUCCACAUCGGAAAAUUCGGAUAAUGAAAAUUUAUCUUCAGAUUUCAUACCAUCGUCAGCUUUUAAUGAUACAUGGGUCGAUAUCUUACACGAAGACCACGAAGACCUAGGAACUAAAGGUUUAACAAAAUUAACCCCAGUUGGAGUAGAGCAUAGUUAUGCCGAUGUUGAUCAAGUGCCAUCACUUGAAAGUAUAGAAUCUGAUGCGGGCAUUUGCUUACAUAUAAGAAAACUAGUCUAAUAAUGUUAUUUAUGCUUUAAUGAAAUGUAAGGUUUUGUCAUCGCUUAAUCGGAGUGCGUAAAGUAUUAAGCAUACUAACUUGCAGUCUAACGGCUUUCAACCUAUAUACAACAAAAAAUAAAUCUUUGGUUUGCUGCCUAAUAAAACGAAUUAUGGUAAUUCUGUAAAUUGUUAUAAAUUUUGUUAUAACUUGGUUGAAUUAAUAAGCAGAAUAUUCCAAUUAUGUAAAUGCUUGUAAAAUAGACUACCUAUUCCUUAUAUUUUAGAGCACUCCGAAUUAUAUUCGAUAAAAUGUGUUUUUGGAUGUAUAAGUUAAAAUAUUUA